AAAUUGAAGAGUUUGAUCAUGGCUCAGAUUGAACGCUGGCGGCAGGCCUAACACAUGCAAGUCGAGCGGUAGCACAGAGAGCUUGCUCUCGGGUGACGAGCGGCGGACGGGUGAGUAAUGUCUGGGAAACUGCCUGAUGGAGGGGGAUAACUACUGGAAACGGUAGCUAAUACCGCAUAACGUCGCAAGACCAAAGUGGGGGACCUUCGGGCCUCAUGCCAUCAGAUGUGCCCAGAUGGGAUUAGCUAGUAGGUGGGGUAACGGCUCACCUAGGCGACGAUCCCUAGCUGGUCUGAGAGGAUGACCAGCCACACUGGAACUGAGACACGGUCCAGACUCCUACGGGAGGCAGCAGUGGGGAAUAUUGCACAAUGGGCGCAAGCCUGAUGCAGCCAUGCCGCGUGUGUGAAGAAGGCCUUCGGGUUGUAAAGCACUUUCAGCGGGGAGGAAGGCGAUAAGGUUAAUAACCUUGGCGAUUGACGUUACCCGCAGAAGAAGCACCGGCUAACUCCGUGCCAGCAGCCGCGGUAAUACGGAGGGUGCAAGCGUUAAUCGGAAUUACUGGGCGUAAAGCGCACGCAGGCGGUCUGUCAAGUCGGAUGUGAAAUCCCCGGGCUCAACCUGGGAACUGCAUUCGAAACUGGCAGGCUAGAGUCUUGUAGAGGGGGGUAGAAUUCCAGGUGUAGCGGUGAAAUGCGUAGAGAUCUGGAGGAAUACCGGUGGCGAAGGCGGCCCCCUGGACAAAGACUGACGCUCAGGUGCGAAAGCGUGGGGAGCAAACAGGAUUAGAUACCCUGGUAGUCCACGCCGUAAACGAUGUCGAUUUGGAGGUUGUGCCCUUGAGGCGUGGCUUCCGGAGCUAACGCGUUAAAUCGACCGCCUGGGGAGUACGGCCGCAAGGUUAAAACUCAAAUGAAUUGACGGGGGCCCGCACAAGCGGUGGAGCAUGUGGUUUAAUUCGAUGCAACGCGAAGAACCUUACCUGGUCUUGACAUCCACAGAACUUUCCAGAGAUGGAUUGGUGCCUUCGGGAACUGUGAGACAGGUGCUGCAUGGCUGUCGUCAGCUCGUGUUGUGAAAUGUUGGGUUAAGUCCCGCAACGAGCGCAACCCUUAUCCUUUGUUGCCAGCGGUUAGGCCGGGAACUCAAAGGAGACUGCCAGUGAUAAACUGGAGGAAGGUGGGGAUGACGUCAAGUCAUCAUGGCCCUUACGACCAGGGCUACACACGUGCUACAAUGGCAUAUACAAAGAGAAGCGACCUCGCGAGAGCAAGCGGACCUCAUAAAGUAUGUCGUAGUCCGGAUUGGAGUCUGCAACUCGACUCCAUGAAGUCGGAAUCGCUAGUAAUCGUAGAUCAGAAUGCUACGGUGAAUACGUUCCCGG
RNAcentral lists this ribosomal RNA (1384 nucleotides) under Klebsiella pneumoniae. RNAcentral describes it as "bacterial SSU rRNA". It matches the Rfam family "Bacterial small subunit ribosomal RNA", at positions 1 to 1377 of the family's 1533-position model. The record is from RNAcentral. Lineage: Bacteria; Pseudomonadati; Pseudomonadota; Gammaproteobacteria; Enterobacterales; Enterobacteriaceae.